UGGGGAAUAUUGGACAAUGGGCGCAAGCCUGAUCCAGCCAUGCCGCGUGAGUGAUGAAGUCUCUAGGGUUGUAAAGCUCUUUCACCGGUGAAGAUAAUUACGGUAACCGGAGAAGAAGCCCCGGCUAACUUCGUGCCAGCAGCCGCGGUAAUACGAAGGGGGCUAGCGUUGUUCGGAUUUACUGGGCGUAAAGCGCACGUAGGCGGACUUUUAAGUCAGGGGUGAAAUCCCGGGGCUCAACCCCGGAACUGCCUUUGAUACUGGAAGUCUUGAGUAUGGUAGAGGUGAGUGGAAUUCCGAGUGUAGAGAUGAAAUUCGUAGAUAUUCGGAGGAACACCAGUGGCGAAGGCGGCUAACUGGACCAUUACUGACGCUGAGGUGCGAAAGCGUAGGGAGCAAACAGG
This 404-nucleotide ribosomal RNA is filed under the name Verrucomicrobiota bacterium. RNAcentral describes it as "Verrucomicrobia bacterium partial 16S ribosomal RNA". It matches the Rfam family "Bacterial small subunit ribosomal RNA", at positions 355 to 776 of the family's 1533-position model. Lineage: Bacteria; Pseudomonadati; Verrucomicrobiota. The record is from RNAcentral.